UGGGGAUUGGGGUAACGGUAGCCCGCCUGACUCUGGAUCAGGUAGUCUAGGUUCGAAUCCUAGAUCCCCAACCAAGG
RNAcentral lists this transfer RNA (77 nucleotides) under Symbiobacterium thermophilum IAM 14863. RNAcentral's name for it is "tRNA-Gln". It matches the Rfam family "tRNA". Rfam says of the family: Transfer RNA (tRNA) molecules are approximately 80 nucleotides in length. Their secondary structure includes four short double-helical elements and three loops (D, anti-codon, and T loops). The record is from RNAcentral. Lineage: Bacteria; Bacillati; Bacillota; Clostridia; Eubacteriales; Symbiobacteriaceae.